UAAGCAUAUCAAUAAGCGGAGGAAAAGAAACCAACAGGGAUUGCCUCAGUAACGGCGAGUGAAGCGGCAACAGCUCAAAUUUGAAAUCUGGCGGCCUCUGGGCCGUCCGAGUUGUAAUUUGAAGAGGAUGCUUUUGGCGAGGCGCCUUCCGAGUGCCCUGGAACGGGACGCCACAGAGGGUGAGAGCCCCGUAUGGUUGGACGCCGAGCCUCUGUAAAGCUCCUUCGACGAGUCGAGUAGUUUGGGAAUGCUGCUCAAAAUGGGAGGUAAACCCCUUCUAAAGCUAAAUACUGGCCAGAGACCGAUAGCGCACAAGUAGAGUGAUCGAAAGAUGAAAAGCACUUUGAAAAGAGAGUUAAACAGCACGUGAAAUUGUUGAAAGGGAAGCGCUUGCGACCAGACUUGUGCCCGUCGAAUCAGCCGCCGCUCGUCGGCGGCGCACUUCGGCGGGCUCAGGCCAGCAUCAGUUCGCUGCAGGGGGAGAAAGGCGAUGGGAAUGUGGCUCUUCGGAGUGUUAUAGCCCGCCGCGCAAUACCCCUCGGCGGACUGAGGACCGCGCAUCUGCAAGGAUGCUGGCGUAAUGGUCGUCAGCGACCCGUCUUGAAACACGGACCAAGGAGUCGUCCUAAUAUGCGAGUGUUCGGGUGUAAAACCCCUGCGCGUAAUGAAAGUGAACGGAGGUGAGAGCUUCGGCGCAUCAUCGACCGAUCCUGAUGUUCUCGGAUGGAUUUGAGUAAGAGCAUAUUGGGCCGGACCCGAAAGAAGGUGAACUAUGCCUGUAUAGGGUAAAGCCAGAGGAAACUCUGGUGGAGGCUCGCAGCGGUUCUGACGUGCAAAUCGAUCGUCAAAUAUGGGCAUGGGGGCGAAAGACUAAUCGAACCUUCUAGUAGCUGGUUUCCGCCGAA
This 905-nucleotide ribosomal RNA is filed under the name Scedosporium boydii. RNAcentral describes it as "LSU rRNA". It matches the Rfam family "Eukaryotic large subunit ribosomal RNA", at positions 35 to 965 of the family's 3401-position model. The record is from RNAcentral. Lineage: Eukaryota; Fungi; Ascomycota; Sordariomycetes; Microascales; Microascaceae.